This 1726-nucleotide ribosomal RNA is filed under the name Aquimarina amphilecti. Its description in RNAcentral is "bacterial SSU rRNA". The stretch from base 488 to 1726 matches the Rfam family "Bacterial small subunit ribosomal RNA", at positions 1 to 1241 of the family's 1533-position model. The record is from RNAcentral. Lineage: Bacteria; Pseudomonadati; Bacteroidota; Flavobacteriia; Flavobacteriales; Flavobacteriaceae.
UUGUUGUUGAUUAGAAAAAGGGUUGUAUGUUUGCACCCGCAAAACGGGAUAUUGUUUUGUUAGUUCAUUGAGAUUGAUUUUGUUUGUUAGGUUAGGUUUUACGGGGCUUUAUUGUUUUGUUUUAAUUUGAUUUAGGUUCUAAAAAAAACUUUAAUUUUUUUUCAAAAAAGUUUUGUGGAAUUAAAAAGUGGUUGUAUAUUUGCACCCGCUUUGAGAAACAAGCGAAGUUCAUAAGAAUAAAAGUUAUACUGGAGUAGGGUGAUUAGGUUCAUUUUUGGGGUUCGAUUCCUUGGUAAUUUACGAUUAACGACUGGCAAUGAAGAUUGUUUUCGGUUAGUUAAAAAAGUUCAUUGAUAUAUUGAUUGACAGCGCGUAUUAUGGUUGUAUUUAUUUACGAUCAUUUUACAAAUAAGAAUUAAGACUAGAAGCAUUUUUGAGAUACGAUUUAAAAUUCCUGUUGUUAUUGUUAAAUAAUAUUUAAGAAUACACGAUGAAGAGUUUGAUCCUGGCUCAGGAUGAACGCUAGCGGCAGGCUUAACACAUGCAAGUCGAGGGGUAACAUUGGUGCUUGCAUCAGAUGACGACCGGCGCACGGGUGCGUAACGCGUAUAGAACCUACCUUUUAGUAAGGGAUAGCCCAGAGAAAUUUGGAUUAAUACCUUAUAGUAUCAAGAUGUAGCAUUGCAUUAUGAUUAAAGAUUUAUUGCUAAAAGAUGGCUAUGCGUUCUAUUAGUUAGUUGGUAAGGUAACGGCUUACCAAGACAUCGAUAGAUAGGGGCCCUGAGAGGGGGAUCCCCCACACUGGUACUGAGACACGGACCAGACUCCUACGGGAGGCAGCAGUGAGGAAUAUUGGACAAUGGAGGCAACUCUGAUCCAGCCAUGCCGCGUGUAGGAAGACUGCCCUAUGGGUUGUAAACUACUUUUAUAGAGGAAGAAACAGUUCCACGUGUGGAACUUUGACGGUACUCUACGAAUAAGGAUCGGCUAACUCCGUGCCAGCAGCCGCGGUAAUACGGAGGAUCCAAGCGUUAUCCGGAAUCAUUGGGUUUAAAGGGUCCGUAGGCGGGUCUGUAAGUCAGUGGUGAAAGUUUUCGGCUCAACCGGAAAAUUGCCAUUGAUACUGCAGGUCUUGAAUCAUUAUGAAGUGGUUAGAAUAAGUAGUGUAGCGGUGAAAUGCAUAGAUAUUACUUAGAAUACCGAUUGCGAAGGCAGAUCACUAAUAAUGUAUUGACGCUAAGGGACGAAAGCGUGGGUAGCGAACAGGAUUAGAUACCCUGGUAGUCCACGCCGUAAACGAUGGUUACUAGCUGUUCGGACUUCGGUCUGAGUGGCUAAGCGAAAGUGAUAAGUAACCCACCUGGGGAGUACGUUCGCAAGAAUGAAACUCAAAGGAAUUGACGGGGGCCCGCACAAGCGGUGGAGCAUGUGGUUUAAUUCGAUGAUACGCGAGGAACCUUACCAGGGCUUAAAUGUAGUAUGACAGGUUUAGAGAUAGACUUUUCUUCGGACAUAUUACAAGGUGCUGCAUGGUUGUCGUCAGCUCGUGCCGUGAGGUGUCAGGUUAAGUCCUAUAACGAGCGCAACCCCUGUUGUUAGUUGCCAGCGAGUAAUGUCGGGAACUCUAGCAAGACUGCCGGUGCAAACCGCGAGGAAGGUGGGGAUGACGUCAAAUCAUCACGGCCCUUACGUCCUGGGCCACACACGUGCUACAAUGGUAGGUACA